CGAGCGGACAGAUGGGAGCUUGCUCCCUGAUGUUAGCGGCGGACGGGUGAGUAACACGUGGGUAACCUGCCUGUAAGACUGGGAUAACUCCGGGAAACCGGGGCUAAUACCGGAUGGUUGUUUGAACCGCAUGGUUCAAACAUAAAAGGUGGCUUCGGCUACCACUUACAGAUGGACCCGCGGCGCAUUAGCUAGUUGGUGAGGUAACGGCUCACCAAGGCGACGAUGCGUAGCCGACCUGAGAGGGUGAUCGGCCACACUGGGACUGAGACACGGCCCAGACUCCUACGGGAGGCAGCAGUAGGGAAUCUUCCGCAAUGGACGAAAGUCUGACGGAGCAACGCCGCGUGAGUGAUGAAGGUUUUCGGAUCGUAAAGCUCUGUUGUUAGGGAAGAACAAGUACCGUUCGAAUAGGGCGGUACCUUGACGGUACCUAACCAGAAAGCCACGGCUAACUACGUGCCAGCAGCCGCGGUAAUACGUAGGUGGCAAGCGUUGUCCGGAAUUAUUGGGCGUAAAGGGCUCGCAGGCGGUUUCUUAAGUCUGAUGUGAAAGCCCCCGGCUCAACCGGGGAGGGUCAUUGGAAACUGGGGAACUUGAGUGCAGAAGAGGAGAGUGGAAUUCCACGUGUAGCGGUGAAAUGCGUAGAGAUGUGGAGGAACACCAGUGGCGAAGGCGACUCUCUGGUCUGUAACUGACGCUGAGGAGCGAAAGCGUGGGGAGCGAACAGGAUUAGAUACCCUGGUAGUCCACGCCGUAAACGAUGAGUGCUAAGUGUUAGGGGGUUUCCGCCCCUUAGUGCUGCAGCUAACGCAUUAAGCACUCCGCCUGGGGAGUACGGUCGCAAGACUGAAACUCAAAGGAAUUGACGGGGGCCCGCACAAGCGGUGGAGCAUGUGGUUUAAUUCGAAGCAACGCGAAGAACCUUACCAGGUCUUGACAUCCUCUGACAAUCCUAGAGAUAGGACGUCCCCUUCGGGGGCAGAGUGACAGGUGGUGCAUGGUUGUCGUCAGCUCGUGUCGUGAGAUGUUGGGUUAAGUCCCGCAACGAGCGCAACCCUUGAUCUUAGUUGCCAGCAUUCAGUUGGGCACUCUAAGGUGACUGCCGGUGACAAACCGGAGGAAGGUGGGGAUGACGUCAAAUCAUCAUGCCCCUUAUGACCUGGGCUACACACGUGCUACAAUGGACAGAACAAAGGGCAGCGAAACCGCGAGGUUAAGCCAAUCCCACAAAUCUGUUCUCAGUUCGGAUCGCAGU
This 1258-nucleotide ribosomal RNA is filed under the name Bacillus amyloliquefaciens. RNAcentral describes it as "bacterial SSU rRNA". It matches the Rfam family "Bacterial small subunit ribosomal RNA", at positions 63 to 1304 of the family's 1533-position model. Lineage: Bacteria; Bacillati; Bacillota; Bacilli; Caryophanales; Bacillaceae. The record is from RNAcentral.